ACAGAGGGGGCAAGCGUUAUUCGGAAUUAUUCAGCGUAAAGGGCGCGAAGGCGGUUUCUUAAGUGAGAUGGGUAAUACCCGGGCUUAACCUGGGAACUGCAUCUCAUACUGGGAGGCUAGAGUACUGGAGAGGGUGGUAGAAUUCCACGUGUAGUGGUGAAAUGCGUAGAGAUGUGGAGGAAUACCAGUGGCGAAGGCGGCCACCUGGACAGUAACCGACGCUGAGGCGCGAAAGUGUGGGGAGCAAACAG
This 251-nucleotide ribosomal RNA is filed under the name uncultured prokaryote. RNAcentral's name for it is "partial 16S rRNA". It matches the Rfam family "Bacterial small subunit ribosomal RNA", at positions 525 to 775 of the family's 1533-position model. The record is from RNAcentral.